CUAGACCUUAUCCAUCACUACACACACAAGAGAACCUUUUCCAUCACAUAAACUACCCUUCAUAAGUUCAAUUACCGUUUUUACUCUUUCUUCCAUCCAUAUUUUCACUUCCUCACAAACUUUUAAAACACAUUUCUUAUUCAUCAUGGAAAUAGAAAGUAGUUCUACUUAAACUUCGAGUCUCGAAGCUGUUACUUUUCACACUCCUCAAGCCACCAUCCUUUCCAUGUCUCCAUCAAGGACCCGUAUAUAAUGUUUUUUUACGUUACCUUUGUUUCUCCUCUCUUUUUGAAAUGCUAAUAAUUUUUUUGGUUUAUUUUUUCAGCGGAUCCAUUUGUUUCUCAAAAAAUUGUUGUUAAGCUAUUGGAGUUUGAGGGGAUGCGAAGAAUAAUAAUGCAAGAUUUUGUAGCACUCGAAAAAAGAACGGAAGAACUUACGACAUCAUUUUACAACAGUUUCUUGUUGUCGGAACUUUUUUCUUUUUCAAUCUCAGAAAUCUUACAUGCGAUUUAGCUUUCAAGAUCCUUGUAAUGAUCAUAUUCCUUUUUUUCCUUAACAUUUUUCGUGCUAAAAGAGAAGGCAACAGAAAAUUCGUUCUCCUGCAAGAGUGGAAUGAGUGUCUAGUGAGUAAUCGCACUAGCUUGAUUUAUUAAGCUAGUGUAGUAAGAGAUGUAGAACAAGAGAGGGGUGUAGUCGAGAGUGAGAAUGCGAAAGAGAAUGAGGAAUCUUUAAUCGCGAGAAGUGUAUUUCUUCGAUGAAUUUGAGCUAUCGAUUCAAAUCCUUAAAUGGGAUUUGCUACCGCACAACAAAGAUACGAGUCAAUAGUACAAUUUGUGAUAAUAGGCACGGGUGACUCAAGGUAAGGCUAAAAGCCUUUUCUUUAGGCCCCCAAAAUUUUGAGGCUUCAAAAAUUUUAAUAGUAAACUAUAUGAUUUCAACUUCCCUUGAAAUAAUAAUGAAGAUUAUAAAAUACAUUUUAAAAAAUUAUCUAAAAAAAAAAGAGAAAGCUAUCUCAUUUUUACAAGAAAUAUUUUAGAGCUUUGAACUAAACAACUCAAACUUUAUAGUAAUAGAUAAAAUUUUAACAACAUCCAAGUUAAUGCAUUGUAAACAAAUGGCUAAUAUCUUAUUUACUAGAAUUAGUCCUUAGUUUUAUUAAUAAUUAUAUUAAUAUGUGAAGUUAAAUGUUAUAUGUCUUUUAAAAAUACUACACCAAAACAACUACUAUGCAAGAAUAAAUUAGGCAACUCUAAAUUUUUAUAGUAGUAUUUUUUUUAUAUAUGUUUACAUAUGUAAGACCUCUUAUUAAAACUUAACUUUAGGCCACUAAUUUUAUUAAGGAGAUUCACAUUCUUAGUGUGGCAUUUAUAAUCGUGAUAUUGAUUGUGGUGUGUUGAAGAUUUUUAUGUUCUUAUUUUUCAUAUUAAUUUACUGAAGAUUCUCUCAUUAAUUGUUGUUUUGACUAGGAUGGGGUUAUACAAUAUUGAAGGGAUCGAAAAAGAUGUAACGUGGAAGGGAUGAAGAACUUUUUGACGUGGGAUCGAAGAACCAAUUGUAUGUAGUUGUCCUAAAAACUGUUAGAAUUGUUGUUUUAUUAACUAGUGCGUGAUAGUAUUAAAAAUAUUAAUCAUUUCAAAUUAUGGUCUGAUUAUAUGAGUG
This 1659-nucleotide long non-coding RNA is filed under the name Capsicum annuum. RNAcentral's name for it is "long non-coding RNA (CANN_LNC017878)". Lineage: Eukaryota; Viridiplantae; Streptophyta; Magnoliopsida; Solanales; Solanaceae. The record is from RNAcentral.